UAAGCAUAUCAAUAAGCGGAGGAAAAGAAACCAACAGGGAUUGCCUUAGUAGCGGCGAGUGAAGCGGCAAAAGCUCAAAUUUGAAAUCUGGCGGCCUCGUCGUCCGAGUUGUAAUUUGAAGAAGGUAUCUUUGGGUCUGGCGCUUGUCUAUGUUCCUUGGAACAGGACGUCACAGAGGGUGAGAAUCCCGUGCGAUGAGCAGUCCAGAUCCGUGUAAAGUUCCUUCGAAGAGUCGAGUUGUUUGGGAAUGCAGCUCUAAGUGGGUGGUAAAUUCCAUCUAAAGCUAAAUAUUGGCGAGAGACCGAUAGCGAACAAGUACAGUGAUGGAAAGAUGAAAAGAACUUUGAAAAGAGAGUGAAAAAGUACGUGAAAUUGUUGAAAGGGAAGGGCUUGCGAUCAGACUUGGUAUUUUGUAUGUCUUGCUUUCGGGCGGGGCCUCUGCAGUUUACUGGGCCAGCAUCGGUUCGGGUGGCAGGACAAUUGCGGAGAAAUGUGGCACGGC
This 502-nucleotide ribosomal RNA is filed under the name Spathaspora sp. BG090807.3.9.3.2.18. RNAcentral describes it as "eukaryotic LSU rRNA". It matches the Rfam family "Eukaryotic large subunit ribosomal RNA", at positions 35 to 544 of the family's 3401-position model. Lineage: Eukaryota; Fungi; Ascomycota; Pichiomycetes; Serinales; Debaryomycetaceae. The record is from RNAcentral.